UUUCCGUAGGUGAACCUGCGGAAGGAUCAUUACCGAAUUGUCAAACGGGUUGUUGCUGGUCUUCAAACGGGGACAUGUGCACGCUCUGUUUACACAUCCACUCACACCUGUGCACCCUCCGUAGUUCUAUGGUCUGGGGGACCCUGUCUUCCUGCCGUGGUUCUACGUCUUUACACACACUCUGUAAUAAAGUCUUAUGGAAUGUAUGCCGCGUCUAACGCAAUACAAUACAACUUUCAGCAACGGAUCUCUUGGCUCUC
RNAcentral lists this unclassified non-coding RNA (260 nucleotides) under plant metagenome. RNAcentral describes it as "partial contains small subunit ribosomal RNA, internal transcribed spacer 1, and 5.8S ribosomal RNA". The record is from RNAcentral.